RNAcentral lists this ribosomal RNA (497 nucleotides) under uncultured bacterium. Its description in RNAcentral is "partial 16S ribosomal RNA". It matches the Rfam family "Bacterial small subunit ribosomal RNA", at positions 28 to 507 of the family's 1533-position model. The record is from RNAcentral.
GACGAACGCUGGCGGCGUGCCUAAUACAUGCAGGUUGAGCGCUGAAGGUUGGUACUUGUACCAACUGGAUGAGCAGCGAACGGGUGAGUAACGCGUGGGGAAUCUGCCUUUGAGCGGGGGACAGCAUUUGGAAACGAAUGCUAAUACCGCAUAAAAACUUUAAACACAAGUUUUAAGUUUGAAAGAUGCAAUUGCAUCACUCAAAGAUGAUCCCGCGUUGUAUUAGCUAGUUGGUGAGGUAAAGGCUCACCAAGGCGAUGAUACAUAGCCGACCUGAGAGGGUGAUCGGCCACAUUGGGACUGAGACACGGCCCAAACUCCUACGGGAGGCAGCAGUAGGGAAUCUUCGGCAAUGGACGAAAGUCUGACCGAGCAACGCCGCGUGAGUGAAGAAGGUUUUCGGAUCGUAAAACUCUGUUGGUAGAGAAGAACGUUGGUGAGAGUGGAAAGCUCAUCAAGUGACGGUAACUACCCAGAAAGGGACGGCUAACUACGUG